RNAcentral lists this ribosomal RNA (637 nucleotides) under Sutterella sp. HGA0244. RNAcentral's name for it is "bacterial SSU rRNA". It matches the Rfam family "Bacterial small subunit ribosomal RNA", at positions 110 to 743 of the family's 1533-position model. Lineage: Bacteria; Pseudomonadati; Pseudomonadota; Betaproteobacteria; Burkholderiales; Sutterellaceae. The record is from RNAcentral.
GUAAUACAUCGGAACGUGUCUUCUAGUGGGGGAUAACUGCCCGAAAGGGCAGCUAAUACCGCAUGAGACCUGAGGGUGAAAGCGGGGGAUCGCAAGACCUCGCGCUGGAAGAGCGGCCGAUGUCCGAUUAGCUAGUUGGUGAGGUAAAGGCUCACCAAGGCGACGAUCGGUAGCUGGUCUGAGAGGACGACCAGCCACACUGGGACUGAGACACGGCCCAGACUCCUACGGGAGGCAGCAGUGGGGAAUUUUGGACAAUGGGGGCAACCCUGAUCCAGCCAUGCCGCGUGCAGGAUGAAGGUCUUCGGAUUGUAAACUGCUUUUGUCAGGGACGAAAAGGGAUGCGAUAACACCGUAUUCCGCUGACGGUACCUGAAGAAUAAGCACCGGCUAACUACGUGCCAGCAGCCGCGGUAAUACGUAGGGUGCAAGCGUUAAUCGGAAUUACUGGGCGUAAAGCGUGCGCAGGCGGUUCUGUAAGAUAGAUGUGAAAUCCCCGGGCUCAACCUGGGAAUUGCAUAUAUGACUGCAGGACUUGAGUUUGUCAGAGGAGGGUGGAAAUCCACGUGUAGCAGUGAAAUGCGUAGAUAUGUGGAAAAACACCGAUGGCGAAGGCAGCCCUCUGGGACAUGACUGA